Molecule: ribosomal RNA, 491 nt
Filed under: uncultured bacterium
Lineage: Bacteria
Description: partial 16S ribosomal RNA
Rfam family: Bacterial small subunit ribosomal RNA
Source: RNAcentral
GAUGAACGCUGGCUACAGGCUUAACACAUGCAAGUCGAGGGGAAACGACGGGGAAGCUUGCUUCCCCGGGCGUCGACCGGCGCACGGGUGAGUAACGCGUAUCCAACCUGCCUCUGACUGAGGGAUAACCCGUCGAAAGUCGGCCUAAUACCUCAUGGCAUCGUCUGCGGGCAUCCAACGACGAUUAAAGAUUUCAUCGGUCAGGGAUGGGGAUGCGUCUGAUUAGCUUGUUGGCGGGGUAACGGCCCACCAAGGCUACGAUCAGUAGGGGUUCUGAGAGGAAGGUCCCCCACAUUGGAACUGAGACACGGUCCAAGCUCCUACGGGAGGCAGCAGUGAGGAAUAUUGGUCAAUGGGCGGGAGCCUGAACCAGCCAAGUAGCGUGCAGGAUGACGGCCCUAUGGGUUGUAAACUGCUUUUAUGCGGGGAUAAAGUGAGGGACGUGUCCUUCAUUGCAGGUACCGCAUGAAUAAGGACCGGCUAAUUCCGUG